RNAcentral lists this non-coding RNA (178 nucleotides) under Paenibacillus sp. RNAcentral's name for it is "FMN sequence". It matches the Rfam family "FMN riboswitch aptamer (RFN element)". From Rfam's summary of the family: The RFN element is a highly conserved domain that is found frequently in the 5'-untranslated regions of prokaryotic mRNAs that encode for flavin mononucleotide (FMN) biosynthesis and transport proteins. This element is a metabolite-dependent riboswitch that directly binds FMN in the absence of proteins. In Bacillus subtilis, the riboswitch most likely controls gene expression by causing premature transcription termination within the 5' untranslated region of the ribDEAHT operon and precluding access to the ribosome-binding site of ypaA mRNA. Lineage: Bacteria; Bacillati; Bacillota; Bacilli; Caryophanales; Paenibacillaceae. RNAcentral also lists the same sequence under 1 other name. The record is from RNAcentral.
AAUAUCCUUCGGGGUUGGGUGAAAUUCCCUACCGGCGGUGAUGAUGCAGCUAUCGAGCCAUACAACGGCAGAUUGUUGUGUCUUAGUCCGUGACCCGGAUAUGAGUCAUGUAUUCAUAGACGGUGGACCUGGUGCAAAUCCGGGACCGACAGUAUAGUCUGGAUGGGAGAAGGAGUGA